Molecule: regulatory RNA element, 38 nt
Rfam family: JUMPstart RNA
Source: Rfam
CAGCACGCUGGUCGCUGUAAGCCAGGGGCGGUAGCUUG